RNAcentral lists this ribosomal RNA (120 nucleotides) under uncultured bacterium. Its description in RNAcentral is "partial 16S ribosomal RNA". It matches the Rfam family "Bacterial small subunit ribosomal RNA", at positions 30 to 149 of the family's 1533-position model. The record is from RNAcentral.
AUUGAACGCUGGCGGCAUGCCUUACACAUGCAAGUCGAACGGUAACGCGGGGCAACCUGGCGACGAGUGGCGAACGGGUGAGUAAUACAUCGGAACGUGUCCAGUAGUGGGGGAUAGCCC